Molecule: transfer RNA, 71 nt
Filed under: Eukaryota sp. BB2
Lineage: Eukaryota
Description: tRNA-Ile
Rfam family: tRNA
About the family: Transfer RNA (tRNA) molecules are approximately 80 nucleotides in length. Their secondary structure includes four short double-helical elements and three loops (D, anti-codon, and T loops).
Source: RNAcentral
GGGCUUGUAGUUUAACGGUAAAACACCCCGCUCAUAACGGGUGCGAUGCUAGUCGAAUCUUGCCAAGCCUA